RNAcentral lists this small nucleolar RNA (95 nucleotides) under Chlamydomonas reinhardtii. Its description in RNAcentral is "CrCD23b snoRNA". Lineage: Eukaryota; Viridiplantae; Chlorophyta; Chlorophyceae; Chlamydomonadales; Chlamydomonadaceae. The record is from RNAcentral.
GCUGGGUGAUGAAUGAUGAUCACCUGGUAAGUUUUCAUUGAGCCGUACUUAACGGCACUGAUGAGACACGUCAUCGUGUCUGGACUUCUGACAGC